GGGGGUACGGAUAUUAAAUGAAAUAGUCCAAUAUUGUUUUAACUUUUAAACUAAGUAAAUAUUUGGAGCACUAUGUCUAUAAAAUUUGAAAAGGAGAUUGAAAUUUGCAAGAUACCCAUUCAAAUGUCGACGACUUUCAAUUGACUGAAUUUGCAAACAGGCUGAAGCCUGAAAUAUUUUAAUAAAGGUAAGUAUUUGUUUUCUAGUUUUAUCGUAAUGCAUGAAUAGGCGGA
Paramuricea clavata is the source of this 233-nucleotide non-coding RNA. The record is from the annotation of a GenBank genome assembly. NCBI's taxonomy places the organism in Eukaryota, Metazoa, Cnidaria, Anthozoa, Malacalcyonacea, Plexauridae.